AACACGUGAGUGACCUGCCUUUUAGACUGGAACAACUUACCGAAAGGUGAGCUAAUGCCGGAUGAGUUAUAUAAGUGCAUGUUUAUAUAGGAAAAGUUGGGGAGACCUGACGCUGAAAGAUGGACUCGCGUCCCAUUAGCUAGUUGGUAGGGUAAUGGCCUACCAAGGCGACGAUGGGUAGCCGGCCUGAGAGGGUGGCCGGCCACACUGGGACUGAGACACGGCCCAGACUCCUACGGAAGGCAGCAG
RNAcentral lists this ribosomal RNA (249 nucleotides) under uncultured bacterium. Its description in RNAcentral is "partial 16S ribosomal RNA". It matches the Rfam family "Bacterial small subunit ribosomal RNA", at positions 112 to 354 of the family's 1533-position model. The record is from RNAcentral.